AGCAAGUUUGGUGAUGCUUCCUUGCUCUUGUGAUCUGUCGUGUAUCUUGUGAUAUUUAUUGCUUUAUAAAUGUUGGUGGUCACAUGAGAAUCUGAGCUAUCCAUUUCUAUGCUGUUUCUAGGUCUCAUGGUCAGAGGGAUAUGUUUAAGGCCCUCCACAGUGAGCGUGAAGACAAGGAUAUCAGAAGACAAAUAGACCUCCAGCAAAGCUGCAGCAACCAAAUGGACCGUGCUGUGCGAAACCCAACGUCAUGCUCGUGUGAGUCAAACAUCCCCCUCUGGUGCUGGAGAGUUCAGCUAAAGAGCAAACAAUGGUAA
Molecule: long non-coding RNA, 317 nt
Filed under: Coturnix japonica (Japanese quail)
Lineage: Eukaryota; Metazoa; Chordata; Aves; Galliformes; Phasianidae
Description: lncRNA (ENSCJPG00005008724.1)
Source: RNAcentral